GAUGAAGAACGUAGUGAAUUGCGAUAAGUAAUGUGAAUUGCAGAAUUCAGUGAAUCAUCAAAUCUUUGAACGCACAUUGCGCCCCCUGGUAUUCCGGGGGGCAUGCCUGUCCGAGCGUCAUUGCUGCCCUCAAGCACGGCUUGUGUGUUGGGCCUCCGUCCUCCUCCCGGGGGACGGGCCCGAAAGGCAGCGGCGGCACCGCGUCCGGUCCUCGAGCGUAUGGGACUUCGUCACCCGCUCUUGUAGGCCCGGCCGGCGCUUGCCGACACAUCAAUCUUUUUUCCAGGUUGACCUCGGAUCAGGUAGGGAUACCCGCUGAACUUAAGCAUAUCAAUAAGCGGAGGA
RNAcentral lists this unclassified non-coding RNA (345 nucleotides) under soil metagenome. RNAcentral describes it as "partial contains 5.8S ribosomal RNA, internal transcribed spacer 2, and large subunit ribosomal RNA". The stretch from base 1 to 120 matches the Rfam family "5.8S ribosomal RNA", at positions 35 to 154 of the family's 154-position model. The record is from RNAcentral.